AGCGAACGCUGGCGGCAGGCCUAACACAUGCAGGUCGAACGGAUCCUUCGGGAUUAGUGGCGGACGGGUGAGUAACACGUGGGAACGUGCCCUUUGGUUCGGAACAACUCAGGGAAACUUGAGCUAAUACCGGAUGUGCCCUUCGGGGGAAAGAUUUAUCGCCAUUGGAGCGGCCCGCGUCUGAUUAGCUAGUUGGUGAGGUAAAGGCUCACCAAGGCGACGAUCAGUAGCUGGUCUGAGAGGAUGAUCAGCCACAUUGGGACUGGGACACGGCCCAAACUCCUACGGGAGGCAGCAGUGGGGAAUCUUACGCAAUGGGCGAAAGCCUGACGCAGCCAUGCCGCGUGAAUGAAGAAGGUCUUAGGACUGUAAAAUUCUUUCACCGGGGACGAUAAUGACGGUACCCGGAGAAGAAGCCCCGGCUAACUUCGUGCCAGCAGCCGCCGUAA
This 449-nucleotide ribosomal RNA is filed under the name uncultured bacterium. RNAcentral describes it as "partial 16S ribosomal RNA". It matches the Rfam family "Bacterial small subunit ribosomal RNA", at positions 29 to 523 of the family's 1533-position model. The record is from RNAcentral.